UAGGGAAUCUUCGGCAAUGGACGAAAGUCUGACCGAGCAACGCCGCGUGAGUGAAGAAGGUUUUCGGAUCGUAAAACUCUGUUGUUAGAGAAGAACAAGGACGUUAGUAACUGAACGUCCCCUGACGGUAUCUAACCAGAAAGCCACGGCUAACUACGUGCCAGCAGCCGCGCUAAUACGUAGGUGGCAAGCGUUGUCCGUAUUUAUUGGGCGUAGAGCGAGCGCAGGCGGUUUCUUAAGUCUGAUGUGAAAGCCCCCGGCUCAACCGGGGAGGGUCAUUGGAAACUGGGAGACUUGAGUGCAGAAGAGGAGAGUGGAAUUCCAUGUGUAGCGGUGAAAUGCGUAGAUAUAUGGAGGAACACCAGUGGCGAAGGCGGCUCUCUGGUCUGUAACAGACGCUGAGGCUCGAAAGCGUGGGGAGCAAACAGG
RNAcentral lists this ribosomal RNA (429 nucleotides) under Gemmatimonadota bacterium. RNAcentral's name for it is "Gemmatimonadetes bacterium partial 16S ribosomal RNA". It matches the Rfam family "Bacterial small subunit ribosomal RNA", at positions 355 to 776 of the family's 1533-position model. Lineage: Bacteria; Pseudomonadati; Gemmatimonadota. The record is from RNAcentral.